GUCUAUGGCUAUACCACUCUGAAUGUUCCCAAUCUGACCUUAGAGGCUAAGCAGGGUUGGGCCUGGUUAGUACUUGGAUGGGAGAAAUCUUGAUUUUGAGAAG
This 103-nucleotide ribosomal RNA is filed under the name Peromyscus maniculatus bairdii (prairie deer mouse). The record is from RNAcentral. Lineage: Eukaryota; Metazoa; Chordata; Mammalia; Rodentia; Cricetidae.